RNAcentral lists this ribosomal RNA (290 nucleotides) under Acidovorax defluvii. Its description in RNAcentral is "partial 16S ribosomal RNA". It matches the Rfam family "Bacterial small subunit ribosomal RNA", at positions 8 to 302 of the family's 1533-position model. Lineage: Bacteria; Pseudomonadati; Pseudomonadota; Betaproteobacteria; Burkholderiales; Comamonadaceae. The record is from RNAcentral.
AGAGUUUGAUCCUGGCUCAGAUUGAACGCUGGCGGCAUGCCUUACACAUGCAAGUCGAACGGUAACAGGUCUUCGGAUGCUGACGAGUGGCGAACGGGUGAGUAAUACAUCGGAACGUGCCCGAUCGUGGGGGAUAACGGAGCGAAAGCUUUGCUAAUACCGCAUACGAUCUACGGAUGAAAGCAGGGGACCGCAAGGCCUUGCGCGGACGGAGCGGCCGAUGGCAGAUUAGGUAGUUGGUGGGAUAAAAGCUUACCAAGCCGACGAUCUGUAGCUGGUGUGAGAGGACG